This 782-nucleotide ribosomal RNA is filed under the name actinobacterium SCGC AAA041-M15. RNAcentral's name for it is "bacterial SSU rRNA". It matches the Rfam family "Bacterial small subunit ribosomal RNA", at positions 61 to 858 of the family's 1533-position model. The record is from RNAcentral. Lineage: Bacteria; Bacillati; Actinomycetota; Actinomycetes.
GUCGAGCGAUGAAGCACCUUCGGGUGUGAAUUAGCGGCGAACGGGUGAGGAACACGUGAGAAAUCUGCCUUCAACACUGGGAUAACUCCGGGAAACCGGGGCUAAUACCGGAUAUGAAAUCUGCGGGCAUCCGCGGAUUUGGAAAGUUUUUCGGUUGAAGAUGAUCUCGCGGCCUAUCAGCUUGUUGGUGAGGUAAUGGCUCACCAAGGCGACGACGGGUAGCCGGCCUGAGAGGGCGACCGGCCACACUGGGACUGAGACACGGCCCAGACUCCUACGGGAGGCAGCAGUGGGGAAUAUUGGGCAAUGGAGGAAACUCUGACCCAGCGACGCCGCGUGCGGGAUGAAGGCCUUCGGGUUGUAAACCGCUUUCAGCAGGGAAGAAGCGAAAGUGACGGUACCUGCAGAAGAAGCACCGGCUAACUAUGUGCCAGCAGCCGCGGUAAUACAUAGGGUGCAAGCGUUGUCCGGAAUUAUUGGGCGUAAAGAGCUCGUAGGUGGUUCGUCACGUCGGAUGUGAAACUCUGGGGCUUAACCCCAGACCUGCAUUCGAUACGGGCGAGCUUGAGUAUGGUAGGGGAGUCUGGAAUUCCUGGUGUAGCGGUGGAAUGCGCAGAUAUCAGGAGGAACACCAAUGGCGAAGGCAGGACUCUGGGCCAUUACUGACACUGAGGAGCGAAAGCGUGGGGAGCGAACAGGAUUAGAUACCCUGGUAGUCCACGCCGUAAACGGUGGGCACUAGUUGUGGGGACCUUCCACGGUCUCUGCGACGCAGCUAACGC